UGACGGGUAACGGGGAAUUAGGGUUCGAUUCCGGAGAGGGAGCCUGAGAAACGGCUACCACAUCUAAGGAAGGCAGCAGGCGCGCAAAUUACCCAAUCCUAAUACAGGGAGGUAGUGACAAGAAAUAACAAUACAGGACUUAAUUGUUUUGUAAUUGGAAUGAGUUAAGUAUAAACCCCUUUACAAGUAUCAAUUGGAGGGCAAGUCUGGUGCCAGCAGCCGCGGUAAUUCCAGCUCCAAUAGCGUAUAUUAAAGUUGUUGCAGUUAAAAAGCUCGUAGUUGGAUUUCUGUUAAUAUUUUAUAUUAUUAGUUAUUAUUAUUAAUAUAAUAUUAACAUAAUUCAUAUUACUUUUUUUAAGUAUAUGAAAUUUUACUUUGAGAAAAUUAGAGUGCUUAAAGCAGGCAAUUGCCUUGAAUACUCCAGCAUGGAAUAAUAUUAAAGAUUUUUAUCUUUCUUAUUGGUUCUAAGAUAGAAAUAAUGAUUAAUAGGG
Molecule: ribosomal RNA, 491 nt
Filed under: Cryptosporidium sp.
Lineage: Eukaryota; Apicomplexa; Conoidasida; Eucoccidiorida; Cryptosporidiidae
Description: SSU rRNA
Rfam family: Eukaryotic small subunit ribosomal RNA
Source: RNAcentral